Molecule: long non-coding RNA, 696 nt
Organism: Sapajus apella (tufted capuchin)
Lineage: Eukaryota; Metazoa; Chordata; Mammalia; Primates; Cebidae
Exons: 2
Source: RefSeq, a predicted model, not a curated record
GCAUGAUCUCAGCUCACUUCAACCUCCACCUCCCAUGCUCAGGAUGCUCGCCCUUGGAGACCAGCAACAAUGUGUGAGGAAGCCCAGGCCAUGUGGAGAGGCCCCACGUAGGUGUCCAGUUAAGGUCCCAGCUGACAGCUGGCAUUGACACGUGAGUGAGACUCUGAACUGUCCCAGCUGAUGACGAGUACAGUUUGAGCUAGCUAUCGCUGUUGGAUCUGUUUCAAAACUGCAGAUUUCAUGAAAAAAUAAGUGUUGUCGAUUUAAGCCAUGAAGUUUUGACAUAAUAUGUUAUACAGCCAUGGUAACUGGAAGAGUGUGAAACAAAUACUACUCUCUUGUGUCUCAUUUCUUUAUAAAGUAUAUCUUCCCCCUUACCUGCAUAGGGAUUCUUUCUCCUUUUCUCUCAGUUCUGCUGUUAUUCCUACUAGUGAUGCUAUUACUACUGUUGUUUCUACAUCUAUUACUACUACUGGAAAUAAGGUAAUUUUAUAACUAAUAUUGAGCAUGCAUCUACUGUAUAGAUUUACAUCCUUAACAUAUAUUAAUUCACUUAAUCCUUAUAUCCAAAGCAUGGACCUGUAUCACCCCCAAGAAUCCUAUGUUGAAGUCCUCACCUUCAGUAUUCACAAUGUGACCUAUUUGGAGAUACAGUCUUUAAAGAUGUGAAAUGAAGCCAUUAAAGUAGUCCUUAAU